AGUUAUGUAGAAAUAUCGACACUGACUGCGAAAGAACACGAGCCCACGAGCCACAACAGCGAUACAAGGGAUAAUGAUCAAGAAGAAGACAGAGGGUAUGUGAUUUUUUUCUUGCCGUAUACUAAACUUGUUUUUAGAUGUUUCCUUUAGAUGAGGAAGAUUCUUAUGAAGAGAUGAGGAGGAUGCUGAUGGAGCUAUGAGGAGGAUGCUGAUGGAGCGAGGAGGAGGAUGCUGAUGGAGC
Xenia sp. Carnegie-2017 is the source of this 241-nucleotide long non-coding RNA. RefSeq lists it as uncharacterized. The transcript is spliced from 2 exons. The record is from RefSeq and is a predicted model, not a curated record. Lineage: Eukaryota; Metazoa; Cnidaria; Anthozoa; Malacalcyonacea; Xeniidae.